This 466-nucleotide ribosomal RNA is filed under the name uncultured Desulfobulbus sp. RNAcentral describes it as "bacterial SSU rRNA". It matches the Rfam family "Bacterial small subunit ribosomal RNA", at positions 925 to 1382 of the family's 1533-position model. The record is from RNAcentral. Lineage: Bacteria; Pseudomonadati; Thermodesulfobacteriota; Desulfobulbia; Desulfobulbales; Desulfobulbaceae.
ACAAGCGGUGGAGUAGUGUGGUUUAAUUCGAUGCAACGCGAAGAACCUUACCUGGUCUUGACAUCCCGGAGACCCUUAGGAAACUAGGGGGUGCUUCCAUCUGGAAGAAUCUGGAGACAGGUGCUGCAUGGCUGUCGUCAGCUCGUGUCGUGAGAUGUUGGGUUAAGUCCCGCAACGAGCGCAACCCUUGCCUUUAGUUGCCAGCAGUUCGGCUGGGCACUCUAAAGGGACUGCCGGUGUUAAACCGGAGGAAGGUGGGGAUGACGUCAAGUCCUCAUGGCCUUUAUGACCAGGGCUACACACGUACUACAAUGGCCGAUACAAAGGGCAGCGACACUGCGAGGUGAAGCCAAUCCCGUAAAAUCGGUACUCAGUCCGGAUUGGAGUCUGCAACUCGACUCCCAUGAAGUUGGAAUCGCUAGUAAUCGUGGAUCAGCAUGCCACGGUGAAUACGUUCCCGGGCCUU